RNAcentral lists this ribosomal RNA (253 nucleotides) under uncultured bacterium. Its description in RNAcentral is "partial 16S ribosomal RNA". It matches the Rfam family "Bacterial small subunit ribosomal RNA", at positions 524 to 776 of the family's 1533-position model. The record is from RNAcentral.
UACGGAGGUGGCGAGCGUUGUCCGGAUUUACUGGGCGUAAAGGGAGCGUAGGCGGAUUUUUAAGUGAGAUGUGAAAUACUCGGGCUCAACUUGAGUGCUGCAUUUCAAACUGGAAGUCUAGAGUGCAGGAGAGGAGAAUGGAAUUCCUAGUGUAGCGGUGAAAUGCGUAGAGAUUAGGAAGAACACCAGUGGCGAAGGCGAUUCUCUGGACUGUAACUGACGCUGAGGCUCGAAAGCGUGGGUAUCAAACAGG